GAAUACAUUUCCUCCGGAAGCGUCAAAAUGUGGACAUGGACCUUCGAUGGGGAUAAACUUACUAUAAUAUUCAGAAAGGACACGAUGGAAGUAUGGGUAGACGACGAUAAAAUUGAUCCCACGAGCCGCUUCUCUGGGAGUACUGUCAUUAUGGAUUUCAAAAUAGGCAAGCACCAAGCCCGGAUAAGAAGUACAAAGGGAGAUGAUGAUGAUAUGCUUACAAUUGAUGGAAUCCCUGUAGAUUAAAAACUGACAGCGAGUUUACUUUGAAGACAGGUCGAGUCAUUUGCCUAUCACUGGGCGCGGCACAUGACUGACGUUUGCGAUUGAAAACAGUCUUCAUAUAAAAUAACCCGAGGACGGGCGAGCUAUUUUCAUUGUAAAUUCGCCUUGGAUUGUGUAUACGGUAUAGCAAGGGCAAUUACAUAUAUAUGACUGAUAUUCACAUUUUAAUACUUAAAAGUAAAAAUGUCUUUUUUUUUAUCGAGAGUGAUUUUUUGAAUUUCUAUUGACGGAAUUUCAUAUGGAAUGAAUACAUAUAGGUACAUGUAGGCUUCCGAGGAAUUUUGCUGGUUAUGCAUAUCAUAUGCAAAUCCACAUGAAUAUUUGUAUGGAGAUUGCAAAGAAACCUUCGUGGACAUUUUAUGCAACCUCUUUCACGAGUUUUUUAUUUAGUAGCUUAGGUUUUUAUAUUAUGCGAUUUAUUUUUCAUCGUCAGAAAUCUUUUUCACUGGCAUGAACACAAUCAAACCCAGAAUGCGUGUAAGCUCAUUGAUGCAGGUAAUACUUUGCCUGAUAGGAAACUGUUCCAGUGUUAGUGAGUUUUUUUAGUGGGUACAUACUUGUUUUUCUUUUUUCAUUGUUAAUGUCGUGAGCAAGACUUCCAGUUCCGUCCAAGUUAAAUGGUUAAUUAUUUUUGUUAAAACCUUUAAAUGGGACAUUUGCGCAUCAGUUCUUAAUAUUCCUACAAAUUGCAGAUUCAUUUUUCACAUCCGACGCUGCUUUUAGAGUACAUAGCGCAUCCACCU
Molecule: long non-coding RNA, 1028 nt
Organism: Lingula anatina
Lineage: Eukaryota; Metazoa; Brachiopoda; Lingulata; Lingulida; Lingulidae
Source: RefSeq, a predicted model, not a curated record